AGCAAAGAGGCGCGUUGUAUGCUGGAACUUGUAGUUUCCAGAAACUGCCAUGCGUCUGUCAAACUCUCCAAACCCUCCUCACCCCGCCUGUUGUCAUGGUAGGCUUCGGGGACGCGCAAGUCCCUCUUCACGCACUUGCUUUGUACAGCUAGUUCAUGGAGGGAAUGGACUGUAGACUUCACAAGUUUUUUGUGAUGCUCUGCAAGCGCUGCCUUGCUCGACUCAGAAGACAAAUAAAAAGCUCUCUGAGGCGCGCCUUUCCUUGCGCGUAAGUGGAAUCGCUGAAUGGUUCCUUGGAAGCACUCAUGGGCUGGACGAAGAUUGGGACAAGCCAGGUGCUACAGCCACGUCCACUGUUUCUUCACAAACCUCUGCAACAGUGAUGAUGGUCUGCACCCAGUCUUAUCCUGCAGAGGCAGAUGCUGCACGCUGCAUAACUGGAGGACCCCUUGGAUUUUCACAAAUCUUGUUUGAAACCACCCCAAACCAUUUUUAUGUUCUCUUUUUUUGUGUGUGGGGGGGUGUUUUUAUUGUUAUGAAGCAUCAGCCUCAAUACUAGGAUUAAUAUUUAAAAAAUGAAUAAUUGUGCAAUU
This is a long non-coding RNA of Varanus komodoensis (Komodo dragon), 593 nucleotides long. RefSeq lists it as uncharacterized. The transcript is spliced from 2 exons. The record is from RefSeq and is a predicted model, not a curated record. NCBI's taxonomy places the organism in Eukaryota, Metazoa, Chordata, Lepidosauria, Squamata, Varanidae.